CUACGUAGGUGGCAAGCGUUGUCCGGAAUUAUUGGGCGUAAAGCGCGCGCAGGUGGUUCCUUAAGUCUGAUGUGAAAGCCCCCGGCUCAACCGGGGAGGGUCAUUGGAAACUGGGGAACUUGAGUGCAGAAGAGGAUAGUGGAAUUCCAAGUGUAGCGGUGAAAUGCGUAGAGAUUUGGAGGAACACCAGUGGCGAAGGCGAAGGUCUGGUCUGUAACUGACACUGAGGCGCGAAAGCGUGGGGAGCAAACAGGAUUAGAUACCCUGGUAGUCCACGCCGUAAACGAUGAGUGCUAAGUGUUGGGGGGUUUCCGCCCCUCAGUGCUGCAGCUAACGCAUUAAGCACUCCGCCUGGGGAGUACGGUCGCAAGACUGAAACUCAAAUGAAUUGACGGGG
RNAcentral lists this ribosomal RNA (397 nucleotides) under uncultured bacterium. Its description in RNAcentral is "partial 16S ribosomal RNA". It matches the Rfam family "Bacterial small subunit ribosomal RNA", at positions 523 to 918 of the family's 1533-position model. The record is from RNAcentral.